ACUGGAAGCUGCUGGAACCAGUCGUGGGCAAAAGAAAUAUGUUUUGUCCACCGUUGCAGUCUUCCUAGACCAAAGUGGAGGUCUCUGUCUGCUUUAGGAGAGCCAACUAAACCAGAUCGUUCCCCUCCAUACAUG
RNAcentral lists this small nucleolar RNA (135 nucleotides) under Fulmarus glacialis (Northern fulmar). Its description in RNAcentral is "Small Cajal body specific RNA 3". It matches the Rfam family "Small Cajal body specific RNA 3". Rfam says of the family: scaRNAs are a specific class of small nuclear RNAs which localise to the Cajal bodies and guide the modification of RNA polymerase II transcribed spliceosomal RNAs U1, U2, U4, U5 and U12. Lineage: Eukaryota; Metazoa; Chordata; Aves; Procellariiformes; Procellariidae. The record is from Rfam by way of RNAcentral.